AUGCAUAGGAAUUUUGUUCUCCAUCUUGCUUAUUGGUACAUGUGUGAUGUUUUUCCUGUUAUGAACAUAUUGGUUUGUGCGAAGUUCAUGUACGAUUACCCAAGGAGUUCAACAACCACUCAUGACGAAAGAAGUAUAGGUGAGCAACUCCCAGGUUGUUCAAGUUUGCCGCGUCAGGCUGUGCAAUUUCGCUUGUGUGAACAAAGGGGGAGCAGCUUCUUCUUAACUGUUGAUUCUGCACUUGUAUGGUGCAUUUUGUCUCAGCUUUUAGGUGAAUUCUUUGCUUCUCUUACAUUGUGUUCAACAGGGUACAUAAGAAAAUGGAGCUUUUUUCGAGUUGUUUUUUCUGUAAUACAUGUGAAGACUUCGGUAUGA
Molecule: ribosomal RNA, 375 nt
Filed under: Triticum aestivum (bread wheat)
Lineage: Eukaryota; Viridiplantae; Streptophyta; Magnoliopsida; Poales; Poaceae
Description: partial small subunit ribosomal RNA
Source: RNAcentral